AAGUCGUAACAAGGUUUCCGUAGGUGAACCUGCGGAAGGAUCAUUAACACUUUUAAUAUGAAGAUUAAAUACUUCAAACUAACGUGAACUUCAAACAAUCGCCCUAUAAUUAAUACUUAUAGGCAAUAAGAAUGGUAAUAAUUGAUUUCCAUUGCAUUGCUUUAAUUUGCAUUGCAUUGCAAUUAUUACUGUUCGAUCCAUUUUUUUACACCAUUAUAAUCCACAUUGUAUUUGACUUGUAAUUCUGUAUAUAGCUUUUUAAUUAAUUAGUUAUAUAUAAUGUUAAUAUAAUAAACAUAAAUACAAAAACAACUCUUAACAAUGGAUAUCUUGGUUCUCGU
This 341-nucleotide unclassified non-coding RNA is filed under the name fungal sp. Its description in RNAcentral is "partial internal transcribed spacer region". The stretch from base 1 to 46 matches the Rfam family "Eukaryotic small subunit ribosomal RNA", at positions 1786 to 1831 of the family's 1831-position model. The record is from RNAcentral. Lineage: Eukaryota; Fungi.